Molecule: non-coding RNA, 5342 nt
Organism: Podarcis lilfordi (Lilford's wall lizard)
Lineage: Eukaryota; Metazoa; Chordata; Lepidosauria; Squamata; Lacertidae
Source: the annotation of a GenBank genome assembly
UGGUGAGUAGUUCUCAUAUGUCAUGGCAGGCAUUUCAAGUGGUUUCCACCUGGCAUAACAGCAUUCAUCUCUCCUCCUCCCCUCAUGGCUCAUGACUUUGUCACAUUGCCUGGUCAAUGGGAGGUGUACACUGGCAGAGUACUGGCAGAGACCAUAUUGCUGUGAGUCUUGGAGGACCUGCUCUCUGCCUUUUCUGCCUGGCCUGGGAGGCUGGGACCCUGGCUGACUCUGGCUACAUAAAACUGAGGUGUUUUGGGGGUUGGGUUAUUGGUGGUAUGAGGUUGCUCAAAUGCUUGCAUGAGACACAGCAGCAGUGGUGGCCUUCCAGAUUACUUCCACGCUUGUGGCACAGUAUAAGUGGGAACAUUUUGUGAGGAACAAUUGGGAAAGGAUAGAUUUGUGUUUCUGACUCCCUGUUGUUUUGUAGGGUAAGUAUUAUGGGCUGCUGCCAUAUCUGUUUCCUCUUCCUGCCUUGGGGUUUUUACCCCCUUUUUCAUUUCUGUAAGCCCAGGUACAUUAGUGCUUCAGCAAUUUUAUAGUAUUGUGGACUUCCCAGGAAAAAAAGGCCAAAAGCCACUGCAUUUUUUCUUAAUGGCAUCUUAAAAUGUUACACAGAAGAAAGCUGGAUUAGGAAAACACCUUCACCCUAAGCAAUCGUUGUCUAAUCUGCUUCACCAUACAUGUUGCAUCUCGAGUCUUCUUUAUGGUUGUGAUGGCAACUAAGCUUUCCCAGCUCCUAUACCUGUGGAUGAAGCUUCAACAUUGGGGGUAGACCCAGCAGUGUGGCUCUGCUGUCUGUCACAAUGUGGUUCCCUCAAGUAACAAAUGAAGGGGCCUCUAAUUAAAAUAUGAUGCUACCUUAUAUGGCAGAUCAUAGGAUCUAAGCUCUUCAUGGGCUCUGACAAAGGACCUUUCAGACUCUAAUACCUGAGAUUCAUUGAAGUGGAGGUGCUAAGGACUUAACCUGGGCUUUCUGUAUUCAAAGCAUGUGCUCUGUGCCCUCCUGGAUCAAAUUUGCAAUCUGAUUUGCUGUGAACUUGCAUACUGAUGAGUUUCACACAUUUAAAGCUAAUGCAAGUUACAAUAACAAUGUAUGAAAUAUUGGCCUUUGAAAUAAUUCACGGGGAAAUUUCCGUUAGCAAAAAUUCAGCCACGGCUCUUCUGCCAGUUUAAUUAUUUGAGACCCCUUUAAAGCAAAACUUGCAUAUACUGUAUUUGAAAAGUUUAACUUUUUCUUAGGAAAUCAUCCUAGUGAAAGUAUGUUGUGUGUAACAAACAAGAUGUCUUAAGUCCAUUUAUGAGCAAAGAACGGAGACUAGCUGUCAAGAUGUCCCCCCCUCCUUUUUUGUAUGUGUGCUAUAACUGCUACUUUGACAGCUCUGUGGAGGUGUAAAGGAUUGAAAAAUGUAAAGGAUAAUAAGGCACAUUUGCUGUGGAACUGUUCAAAUAAUCAUAUCUAGGAGAGGCAGGGUAAGUAGAAUCUUGGUGGGAAAAAUAAUAUGUUUUUAUAAAUGUGAUCUUACCCAUUAUUUCUGUUAUCUCAGAGGAAAAGCAAAGUGCAAUGAAAUAAUGGCAACUUUUGGAAGUAUAUAUGCUACUUUGUGUGCACCUCUCUUAAAUGAUUGUGACCCAAAUGUGAAAAGGAGUGUUGUGUACACAGUUUCUUGGGCUGGAGAUCUGCUUCUAGCAUUCGGGGUUCCAUGCUCAGUAAUCUGAAUAUUAUGUGCGCAACACUGACCAAAUAACCAGAACGGUCACCUCUUUGGAAUCAGCACUGUUUAACUGGACAGUAUCAGCAAGUGUCCAUUAUGACUAUGACAGCUGUUAUCAUAUAGAUAUAUUUUCUGUGUGAAAUCCACUGCUAGCUACUGUCAAGCACAUAGACUAGAAUCUCUCUUGACACAUCAUAGUAGGCUGAUAACCCAUAACAAUGGCGCUGGGCUUCACAAGUAGCAGAACUAGGUGAGAAUGGGGUGGUAGAAUGGGCUAUAUCACAACAGUGCAGGUAGAGGAUCCUACUUGGGAUGCUUUGCUACAUUUUUUUUUAACUUACCAAUAAUUGAAAGCUGAACAUAGCUGAUCUAGAAUCAUUGUGCCUGUCAAUUUGUGUGUGUUGAUACUUUUUAAGCUAUUGCUGUUGCUAAGUUGCAAGGUUAUGCUUUCAAGUAUGGUUGAGCACCAAAAAUGGCACCCCCAUUUGCAGUCUAAAAUGGUAUAGUCUGCUCAACUACCUCAGAAUUCCAUUUCCACAUUCUUCUGUUGCAUCUGUAGCCAUGGAAGCUGUUUGCAGAAGACUCCAUAGUUGAGUGUAACAUGAAGUGCAGCCAUACAUCAGGCUAAACCAAAGCUUUAAUAGGUGGUGGGGAUGGCUGAAGAGAGAAUGCCCUCAAUUACCUACCUACCUGCCUGCCUGCAUGCCUACCUGCCUGCCUGCCAGAAGAAGAAGAAUGUAUGCUCAGUCACAUCACAGCAUAUAAACCAACAAGUGGACCUCUCUCAAAAGUGAAAAAAUGUCCUUAAGACAAAGCUGAGAGGGGAUAUUUCAGGGCCUGUAGACACUGUUUUCUCAAUGAUGGUUUCAUUGUUUAUGAGUCAAAUACUGCAAAGCCAUAACUCCAAGACAAAUGAUACUAUUAUAGUUAUGCGUCAUGCUGUGAACAGUGUGGUGGAUAUUUCUACACAAUUCAUUUCAGGAAAAUGAAUCAGAACAGCUAGACUAAAUAUGUUUUUCUUUCCUUGUUAUAAUAAUGAGUUCUUAUUACGGUAGAAACCUUCAUUUAUCAAUGCAGAAAGAAAAGAAUUCAUGAAGGAGAAUUUCAUAAUUAUUAUUAUUUGUCUUUCAUAAAUAAUAAUGAGCUUAUCUUUGCAGCCAUGAUAGUUCAAACUUAUCUUUUCCCAUAAAUCCUGCUCCGGGUAACCAAAUUUUUAGAGAACUUUCCAUUUUAUUCAUCACCCCAGUAUUAUUGUUUGAAUAAAUGUCAGUAUGUGAUUUGAAAUACAAUUAUGCUAUAUCCAUGCUAAACAGUGGCAUUAAUGAAAUUGCUCUAGCACAUAUUUAAAUUGCAGUGGUGUCUUUAAAAAAACCCCGUACCUGGCAGACCCUUUAUACACAGAAAUUGAUUUUCAAAUCAGAUGCAUUAUAGUUUUUUUCUGGAAAAGAUGUUGCCUGGUUCACGACGGAUCAACGACCCUUUUCAUGUAAAUUCUGUUAAAAUUUUGUUUCUAUUCUCCCUAUAUUUUCAUUUACUGAACCUGAACAAUUAUAUCAUGACAUGUUAACCCAACAUAUAAACUCACCUACUACCUGUGUGUGCAGCAUCCUCCGUCCUCCCUUCACUUGAGCUAGCAAAUAAACCAGGAAGUCUUCAAUUAAUUAAGGUUUCCCAUUUCAUCCAAACCACCUAUUUUUUUUUAAAGAACCCAGAUAUUAAAACAACUUUGAACUCUAGUUUAAGACUCUGGCUUGCUUUAAAGUUCUGCUAAUUGUAGUUUCUCAUUUGGAUGAAACAGGAAUCUUUAACUGAUUGAAUACUUGCUGGCUUAUAUGAACAGAAGUGCAAAAGGGAUGCCUACAUAUUAAGCCAUGAUACGAUUCCAAACUGUCCUACUGUCAGCUAACUCCCAUAUUUUCUUGUCUCAGAGGUCCUUUAUUGGAUUUCCCCCUCAUUUAAUUAUUUAGUAUAUAAACACACAUAAAAAUCCAAUUUGUUAAGGUUUCAGUUAUCUCAUGUAAAUGCUUUACAUUCACUGGACUGCUAAUUGAUUUGUGGAUUUACAUCUGUGAAGUCUACUGAUUUCAUUAGGGAUGGGGAUUGAUCGUUAUAUUGCAUGAAAAAAGUAUACUGCCUUACAUCCCUUGGGUUCUUAUAGAGCUGAAAGUAAAUUUAGUAUUCAGAUGAAAAGUCUCAAAUUUGAACUUGCACUUUAAUGUGGACAUGUUAUCCCAACAUUUGAAAUUCACAAAGUUUAGAUGGUGGUUUUCUUGAUUUUCUCAGGCUUUAAAUAUAAGGUCUCAUAUUUACUGCCAAAAAGGAUACAACCAUUCACAUGCAACUAAGAUAAUUACAUGUCAGCAACCACAUAUUAAAUAGUAUUUUGAUGCUAACCAUCAAAUACUGUCAAAAUCCAUACACUAGUGAUUUUCAAAUUAACUUCUGGUGAGCCCUAGGUUCUGUGGAAUAUUGCCAGAGAUUUGGUAAACCAGAAGAUCAGUAAUGGUGGAGAAACUUCCCUAAAAGACCACAACUCAUCUGCAAUGUGUAGCCAUAGGGGCACAUUUGCAGUACAAAUUGGAGAUCGGAAGGCUUAACAGUAUCCCAUGUGAACAGAGUGUACAUCCAAGAUAAUCUCUCAGAAUCCUCUACAACAUGCAAGGGUUCUGUGGCAGACAUACUUUCAUUGGCAAUCCAGUCAGUGCAGCAAUGUUCUCUGAAGAGAAAAACUCUGAAUACCUCUAAGAUCUGUUGAUGUGUAUCAGCUAUUGGUACUGGUAAACACCAUCACUUAUCAAGUAUUAUAUGCUGCUAGAUAUCAACUGUCAGAUAUCAAGAACUGAAACCAAAUUUCAUUGGUUGUUAAAUACGGAUGCAAAAUACCUUAUUCAAAGAUUCAGAGAAUAUCUUGCAAAUGUCUGGCAUAAAAAUCCUCUCAGGACAAUUUAAAGGAGAAUUCUAGAGCAAAUUAAUUCCAUCUCCCAUUUCUUUGUGCACCAACCCACAUAUCAGGGGAAGCUGCAGAAGCAGCUCAGAUGCCGGGGAGAUAGUUAACAGCCCUGUAUCCUCCCACUUGUGUGUCAUUUAAGAAAUAGGCCUCAUAAAAUUAAAGAUACAGUGGAAGCAGAGGUGGCAAUGCAGGGCAAUUCUCAAUAAUUAGGAAUGAAGCAAGAAGUGGAAUUGAUAUUCCACUUAAUAAGGACAAAUCCUGUUGCACAAGCAGCCUUCCUUUCACAUAUGGUUUGGAUACAAACCUUUAUGUUUACUGUACAUGAGGACAGGACCCCUCCUCUUCUUUCCUUUUUUUAAAAAAAUUUAAAAAUGGUGUUAUCCAACUAGACUGGGUGGGAUAGGACAAGUUGGCCAUAUGCUUUGCAUGCAAGUUUUUAGGCUCAAUCCCUGGCUGCUUUUAUCUGAGACUCUGACGAGCUACUGCUAGUGUCAGUGCAUAUACUGAGCUAGAUGGACCAAGAGCCUGAUUCAAUAGAAGGUAGCUCACCACGUUCCUCUCUGUGAUCCAUCUACUGUGGGGGCAAGCACAACUGAAGACAUUAGGACUUCUUCUUCUUUUUUAAAAAAUGAUAUUUAUUACUUUUUCAAAAUUUCCAACACAGCACUACAAACACAGAG